Small RNA from Burkholderia sp., 229 nucleotides. It matches the Rfam family "Burkholderia sRNA Bp1_Cand871_SIPHT". NCBI's taxonomy places the organism in Bacteria, Pseudomonadati, Pseudomonadota, Betaproteobacteria, Burkholderiales, Burkholderiaceae. The record is from Rfam.
UCGCCCACAAUGCCUCUCACGGUUUCAACACGGAUGCGGUCUCCGGUGCGGCGUGUGAGCGGACAUCAAGCACGAAAGAGCCCGUCGGUUUUUUACCGAAUCCCUUCUUAGGGGCAUCCUUGUUGAAGUCGUCGUCGGUGCCGGAGCAUCGAUGCCCUUCACCUUUGGUCUCCUCGCGCUAACCCCGUAGCGUGUGGUUUUUAGCGGGCUCAUGAGCCCGCUUUUUUUC